RNAcentral lists this ribosomal RNA (571 nucleotides) under uncultured bacterium. Its description in RNAcentral is "partial 16S ribosomal RNA". It matches the Rfam family "Bacterial small subunit ribosomal RNA", at positions 355 to 914 of the family's 1533-position model. The record is from RNAcentral.
UGGGGAAUAUUGCACAAUGGGCACAAGCCUGAUGCAGCCAUGCCGCGUGUGUGAAGAAGGCCUUCGGGUUGUAAAGCACUUUCAGCGAGGAGGAAGGUGGUGAGCUUAAUACGCUCAUCAAUUGACGUUACUCGCAGAAGAAGCACCGGCUAACUCCGUGCCAGCAGCCGCGGUAAUACGGAGGGUGCAAGCGUUAAUCGGAAUUACUGGGCGUAAAGCGCACGCAGGCGGUUUGUUAAGUCAGGUGUGAAAUCCCCGGGCUCAACCUGGGAACUGCAUUUGAAACUGGCAAGCUAGAGUCUCGUAGAGGGGGGUAGAAUUCCAGGUGUAGCGGUGAAAUGCGUAGAGAUCUGGAGGAAUACCGGUGGCGAAGGCGGCCCCCUGGACGAAGACUGACGCUCAGGUGCGAAAGCGUGGGGCAGCAAACAGGAUUAGAUACCCUGGUAGUCCAGCGCUGUAAACGAUGUCGAUUUUGGAGGUUGUGCCCCUUGAGGCGUGGCUUCCGGAGCUAACGCGUUAAAUCGACCGCCUGGGGAGUACGGCCGCAAGGUUAAAACUUAAAUGAAUUGAC